AAAUAAUAAUUAUCAUAAUCUUUUUUGAUUGUGGAAUUGGGCCUUUAUUUCAUUUUAAUGGUUUAUGGCCUCAAAUUUACGUUACCGCUUGUUUAAUAUGAAAUUCGACCGAAUGGAGCAAUUAAACAAAUUCUCUCGUUAGGCGGAUUCUCAUCAAGCAAUUACGAUUUUUUGGCCGACUCGGCACUUUUUAAAAGCGCUUGGCCGAGAUCGUGAGUUUUUUAACAAA
Molecule: unclassified non-coding RNA, 229 nt
Filed under: Entrophospora etunicata
Lineage: Eukaryota; Fungi; Glomeromycota; Glomeromycetes; Entrophosporales; Entrophosporaceae
Description: Claroideoglomus etunicatum ITS2
Source: RNAcentral